Molecule: ribosomal RNA, 208 nt
Filed under: uncultured bacterium
Lineage: Bacteria
Description: partial 16S ribosomal RNA
Rfam family: Bacterial small subunit ribosomal RNA
Source: RNAcentral
CGUGUAGGCGGUUUUGCAAGCCUGGCGUGAAAGGCUUCGGCUCAACCGGAGGAUGGCGCUGGGAACUGCGAGACUUGAGUUCUGGAGGGGGGAGCUGGAAUUCCUGGUGUAGGGGUGAAAUCUGUAGGGAUCAGGAAGAACACCGGUGGCGAAGGCGAGCUCCUGGACAGAGACUGACGCUGAGGCGCGAAAGCGUGGGGAGCGAACA